Molecule: long non-coding RNA, 366 nt
Organism: Mytilus californianus (California mussel)
Lineage: Eukaryota; Metazoa; Mollusca; Bivalvia; Mytilida; Mytilidae
Exons: 2
Source: RefSeq, a predicted model, not a curated record
UGGCUACCGGAAAGCCGAUUAUAGCGAUGGAUUUUUGGGUAAAAUCCGCCAUUGUUGUGAAAAAGGUCCUACGCCUAACGAUUUUUAUAAUGGAUAAUGCCGAUACUUUUCACAGCUAAAGCAUGGUGCCAAAGAUGAACGAAUGCAGUAAAUUUUCAAAAGGAGUAAAAUUUUCUAGAAAAGGAAACCUUCUGCUGGUCGUAAUAUUACGAAUGAGCUUCAUGCAUCUGUUGUCGUUUCAGACUACGCUUCUCAUUCAAAACAUGAACCUAAUUCAUUUUUAAAUUAAAAUCGUAUUGAGGACAUUUUAAUGGUGACAGCAAAAGAUAUAUAUAUUUGAUAAUAAAAGAUUUUAUUUGCACCAAG